GGGGGCGUAAAGGUUUCGACGGGGGUGUAGAAGCCGGGUAAGCGAGCCGGAGUCGGCCAGGUCUCCGUUAAAAAUGGCCCGUUUAAAAUAAACGCUAAAAGAAACAACAAUUUCGCAUUCGCAGCAUAAGCGCUGCCCGCGCGUCGGUCUCAGGUCACCUGCAGCCUGAACAACCGGCGUCGACCAUGCAGGAAAACCUUCUUAAAGUUCCCGGUAUAGGAAGGGACUCACGGGAUAGGAUCAUUGGCGUCGUGCCGGCGGGCCGCCUCUGUUCCGAAACUUAAACUACCGGCUGCGCUCGGAGAAGACCUUGUGGAAAUGCUUUCGGACGCGAGUUCGAUUCUCGCCGCUUCCACCA
This 358-nucleotide transfer-messenger RNA is filed under the name bovine gut metagenome. It matches the Rfam family "transfer-messenger RNA". Rfam says of the family: Bacterial tmRNA, also known as 10Sa RNA or SsrA, is named for its dual tRNA and mRNA-like properties. Its role is to liberate the mRNA from a stalled ribosome. The record is from RNAcentral.